RNAcentral lists this ribosomal RNA (253 nucleotides) under uncultured bacterium. RNAcentral's name for it is "partial 16S ribosomal RNA". It matches the Rfam family "Bacterial small subunit ribosomal RNA", at positions 524 to 776 of the family's 1533-position model. The record is from RNAcentral.
UACGUAGGGUGCAAGCGUUAAUCGGAAUUACUGGGCGUAAAGCGUGCGCAGGCGGUUCGCUAAGACAGAUGUGAAAUCCCCGGGCUUAACCUGGGAACUGCAUUUGUGACUGGCGGGCUAGAGUAUGGCAGAGGGGGGUAGAAUUCCACGUGUAGCAGUGAAAUGCGUAGAGAUCUGGAGGAAUACCGGUGGCGAAGGCGGCCCCCUGGACAAAGACUGACGCUCAGGUGCGAAAGCGUGGGGAGCAAACAGG